GAUGAACGCUGGCGGCGUGCCUAAUACAUGCGAGUCGAGCGAACAGACGAGGAGCUUGCUCCUCUGAUGUUAGCGGCGGACGGGUGAGUAACACGUGGAUAACCUACCUAUAAGACUGGGAUAACUUCGGGAAACCGGAGCUAAUACCGGAUAACAUGUUGAACCGCAUGGUUCAACAGUGAAAGACGGUCUUGCUGUCACUUAUAGAUGGAUCCGCGCCGCAUUAGCUAGUUGGUAAGGUAACGGCUUACCAAGGCAACGAUGCGUAGCCGACCUGAGAGGGUGAUCGGCCACACUGGGACUGAGACACGGUCCAGACUCCUACGGGAGGCAGCAGUAGGGAAUCUUCCGCAAUGGGCGAAAGCCUGACGGAGCAACGCCGCGUGAGUGAAGAAGGUCUUCGGAUCGUAAAACUCUGUUAUUAGGGAAGAACAAAUGUGUAAGUAACUAUGCACGUCUUGACGGUACCUAAUCAGAAAGCCACGGCUAACUACGUG
RNAcentral lists this ribosomal RNA (497 nucleotides) under uncultured bacterium. RNAcentral describes it as "partial 16S ribosomal RNA". It matches the Rfam family "Bacterial small subunit ribosomal RNA", at positions 28 to 507 of the family's 1533-position model. The record is from RNAcentral.